ACGCGUUGGGAGCUCUCCCAUAUGGUCGACCUGCAGGCGGCCGCGAAUUCACUAGUGAUUCGUAUUACCGCGGCUGCUGGCACAGAGUUAGCCGGUGCUUAUUCUGUCGGUAACGUCAAAACACUAACGUAUUAGGUUAAUGCCCUUCCUCCCAACUUAAAGUGCUUUACAAUCCGAAGACCUUCUUCACACACGCGGCAUGGCUGGAUCAGGCUUUCGCCCAUUGUCCAAUAUUCCCCACUGCUGCCUCCCGUAGGAGUCUGGACCGUGUCUCAGUUCCAGUGUGACUGAUCAUCCUCUCAGACCAGUUACGGAUCGUCGCCUUGGUGAGCCAUUACCCCACCAACUAGCUAAUCCGACCUAGGCUCAUCUGAUAGCGCAAGGCCCGAAGGUCCCCUGCUUUCUCCCGUAGGACGUAUGCGGUAUUAGCGUCCGUUUCCGAACGUUAUCCCCCACUACCAGGCAGAUUCCUAGGCAUUACUCACCCGUCCGCCGCUCUCAAGAGAAGCAAGCUUCUCUCUACCGCUCGACUUGCAUGUGUUAGGCCUGCCGCCAGCGUUCAAUCUGAGCCAGAUCAAACUCUAAUCGAAUUCCCGCGGCCGCC
RNAcentral lists this ribosomal RNA (604 nucleotides) under uncultured Gammaproteobacteria bacterium. RNAcentral describes it as "partial 16S ribosomal RNA". The record is from RNAcentral. Lineage: Bacteria; Pseudomonadati; Pseudomonadota; Gammaproteobacteria.